UACCUGCUUCUGUGUGAUAUGUUUGAUAUUGGGUUGUUUAAUUAGAAACCAACUAAAUGUCAAACAUAUUCUUAUAGCAGCAGGCA
Molecule: non-coding RNA, 86 nt
Organism: Ictidomys tridecemlineatus (thirteen-lined ground squirrel)
Lineage: Eukaryota; Metazoa; Chordata; Mammalia; Rodentia; Sciuridae
Source: Rfam